UUGGAGGGCAAGUCUGGUGCCAGCAGCCGCGGUAAUUCCAGCUCCAAUAGCGUAUAUUAAAGUUGUUGCAGUUAAAAAGCUCGUAGUUGAAUUUCGGGAUCAGACUGUCGGUCGUGCCUCGGUACGCACUGGCAUUAUUGGUUCCUACCUUCUGAAGAACCGCGAUGUCAUUAAUUUGGUGUCGCGGGGAAUCAGGACUGUUACUUUGAAAAAAUUAGAGUGUUUAAAGCAGGCUUACGCUUGAAUACAUUAGCAUGGAAUAAUGAAAUAGGACGUUUGAUUCUAUUUUGUUGGUUUCUAGGAUCGACGUAAUGAUUAAUAGGGAUAGUUGGGGGCAUUAGUAUUCAAUUGUCAGAGGUGAAAUUCUUGGAUUUAUUGAAGACUAACUACUGCGAAAGCAUUUGCCAAGGAUGUUUUCAUUAAUCAAGAACGAAAGUUAGGGGAUCGAAGACGAUCAGAUACCGUCGUAGUCUUAACCAUAAACUAUGCCGACUAGGGAUCGGAUGAUGUUAAUUUUAUAAUGACUCAUUCGGCGCCUUACGGGAAAC
RNAcentral lists this ribosomal RNA (548 nucleotides) under uncultured Glomus. RNAcentral describes it as "SSU rRNA". It matches the Rfam family "Eukaryotic small subunit ribosomal RNA", at positions 548 to 1098 of the family's 1831-position model. The record is from RNAcentral. Lineage: Eukaryota; Fungi; Glomeromycota; Glomeromycetes; Glomerales; Glomeraceae.